CUUCAGCCCCAUUUUUUUCAUGCUAUGAAAAUUGUUUCAUUCCUUUCUACACAGCACUCUUUGCUGCCUCGCCUUCAUCUGCCACAGAAACAUGUCAAGAUAAAUCUUAACACAAUCUCUUUUCUUUUCUUUGUGACUUUCUAUCCUUGACAUUAGGGUCAAGAUGUUUUUCUUUUAAAACAACUGGCAAUUCUCUGCCCUUUUGUUCUGUUUGGAUCUGAGCACCCUGUCAUUUCUCUGCGGUCCCCAGUUUUAUUUUUGCUCUGGCAUCACUGGAAAUGAUGGCGUCUCACUUAGUGAUGUUUGCUAUGAAGAUCUCAUGAGCCACUUUAUCCUUCUCCCAGCCAACUGCGGAAGAAACUCAAAUUCCUCUGACAUUGCUGCAUCUGGGCGGAUCCUUGCAGCGGUUGAGCAUAUGGUGGAACAAACCCUAGACUCUGAACCAUGGGACUUAAACUCCGGUCCUUCCUCGGCCAUUGGGAAGGUAGAACUUGGGCAAGCACCAAGUGGAAAUACCAGUCAUUUGAUACUGUACCACCUGGGACCGAAGGCCAGAGCCCUCUGUUUAGAAGCUGGUAGCUUGCAGCUGUGUAGCUUGAUGGCAGGUGAAAUGUUGGCAUCUUGAAUGCUGAACCAGUGAGUAAGGUGCUGGGGUUCUAUUUUGCACACUGGUGAACCAGAAGUGACCCAAAUCAUCUGAAGGUCCUUAAUUCCAUGAAUAAAACUAUAUUCAGAAGGUGAUUAUCGUGUAAAGGAGAGGUGCAUUAUCUUUGGGGAACAAGUGACCAUGGAAACAGUGAGUGCAGGAAAUAGUAGAGCUUUGCAUUUGGGUCCUUCAGGAGGCUUUGCAGUGGAAUCACCCUGCAGCUCGGAAAAGUGGGAGCAACGUGCUGUGAUGCCACCUCUUGGCUAAUGAAUGUGGACUGUGAGGUGACAGAGGGAACCCUGAUCAUCUGACACUGACUCUUGGUACAGAACCACUGUGGAAGUCAUCCAGGAGAAAAGCAAACAACUAGUGUGCUGUAUGGUGAAGAUUUUCUGUGUUUAGUGACCGAACUCUUAUUGCCUUUGGAGAAUGAAAUCCACACUUUUUGCUUUUUGGAGUGGUUGACUUGAAUGAUAAUCAACAUGGGGGAGAGAUGGGAUUACUUUCUAAAUGGAGUAAGGGGUAAGCAAGGGUAAGCAUCUUGGACAAAAUGGCGGCAAGUAUGAAAUGACAAAAGCGCUUGUCUCCAGCAUCUGGCUAAGCAGUCUUUUGCCAAGACCCUCACCUUUGGCCUGGAUAGAGGCUCUCUAGCUGGGUCAGAGCAAAGAGCAGCAUCCUGACCAUUCAUUCCAUGGUCUCCUGGCUGACCAAGGGGGGCCAAUUAGGUCCUAUUGUGAUAGAAGUGGGAGGGAAAGUUUCCUCCAUUCCGAUGACCCUUGGAGUGACUCCAUCAGUCUUAAAGGCCAUAGGGGUGGAGGAUGGGGCGCUAUUCUCUACCUCAUUGGGCCAUAGCCAGCCCUGUGUGAGUAAUUGGUUCUGUUCCUUAGCCUGAGGUCCUUCAGAUCUAUGGGAUUGACACUGCCUUCGUGCCUCCCCCAAACAGAAAUUUGCUCAGUUUGUCAUUUCAGAAGAUGGCUGUUUGGGGAUGGGAGGAAGAAAAAUAAAAUAUAAACACUAGUUAUUGGUCCUAUGUCCGUUUUGUUUUAGAAGUAGCAUUUAUAUUGGUAAAGGGUGGCAAAUGUCAGCCCCGUCACCCACCACCCACUUCCCAGUGCCUGCCUUUUUCUCACUGUGGGGUACAAUGA
Equus caballus (horse) is the source of this 1791-nucleotide long non-coding RNA. The record is from Ensembl. NCBI's taxonomy places the organism in Eukaryota, Metazoa, Chordata, Mammalia, Perissodactyla, Equidae.